GACCCUGGUCUGCACUCUGUCUGGAAACUUACAGAAGGGAGAGCAGGGCAGGGUUUC
Molecule: microRNA precursor, 57 nt
Filed under: Rattus norvegicus (Norway rat)
Lineage: Eukaryota; Metazoa; Chordata; Mammalia; Rodentia; Muridae
Description: Rno-Mir-504-v2_pre stem-loop
Rfam family: mir-504 microRNA precursor family
Source: RNAcentral